UCAUCUUUUUCCAGUAUCUUAUUUUUCUUCUCUUUAUCUGUUAUUAAUUUCUUCCUCCCUUCGAUUGCCUUGUCUCUUCCUCGUUCUCUUUAUCCUCUCCUACACUCUCCACUAUAUUUUCUGCCCUUCCCAUCCCAUUCUCUCCUUCUUCCCCUCCUGCUUUCUGAUUUCAACCCCUCUACCACCGAGCGAUAAAUUUUUCCAAAGGUAUAACGCUAAUCACCCUCUCCAAAAUGCCUGUCAGUCCAGUACAAUUAAAAAAACUCAAGAUCCACAAAAGAGUUUUGAAUACCAGCGCGAUUUUCCCUAUGAAGUAGGAUAAUUCGAUUAAAUCGCCCACACCGAAUAUUUCCGGUAACUGACAAGGACGUAAUAAUAGUUUAGCCCAGGGAGAAGAAAAAUAAUAAAUUUAUUAAGUAUUUUCAUACCUAUAUAAAUAUAUUAGACCUAUUGCAGUUGGUAGAACUGCGCGAGUCCAUGUCCAAUGGCGUCGACUAAGAGAAACAAGUAGCGCGGGGAUAGCCAGGCAGGCAGGAUGUAAACAAAUAGUACAAAAGUAAACCUUGGAUGUCGACAAGACGCUAUUUUUACAACGAGUAAGAAGUGCGCGGGUAUGCGCGGGGACGCGUGCGUUUCCUCAAGAAAGUUUAAAAGACGCGCGGAGUGUCGUUUGCGAGCAUAAAAUCUGACUUACGUAGUACCUUAAUUCGCGUGUACCGAAAGAGUCUUGCGUUGUCAUGCGGUUUACUGGGCUAUACAUCUUCCCGAGUCAGUGGUACAUUUUCGUCGAUCAACCCAUACGAAUUGAGUAUCCGUACGUACGACUUCAGCGCCACCGUCAGUCUCCGAUGGUUACGCGGAAAUUUAUACAAACGUUUUGUCACCCCAUGUGAAAUAUAAACCGCAUUCGUACGUUUUACAUGAGCACGCGUCCCUGAUCGUCUACGCCUAUAUAUUUUGGCAUUUCGAUCGUUACGUUUUCGUGCUUCUAGUUUGUUUUAUUGGAUCGAAUGAAUACGUAAGCAGCAGGGACACAGGAGUUACGGAUGUGAAUUGCGUGUGCAAGCCUUGACCUUGAAUUGAAAAAUUCUGUGCUUCGUUGCGGUAUCUUGAAUUUCGUUGGCGAUAGUGCAUCCUCGUAAUUCCUUGCGUUUCGUAUACAUCGCGCUCUUAGGUUAGGUUAAUAUCUGACUUGUGGCGAGCGGCAGUACACGCUUAUAUUGUAUGUACGUGCGAUAUAAACAUGACGGAAGAGAUCUUGCAGAUGAUGGUGAGGAAUUGUGUCUCGGAGUUACAAAGUCACAAUUUGACUCUAGUUGCUGACGCGCUGACUUAGGAACGCGCAAACGUGUUUGCCAUGAAAUUCUUCCAUAUAUAAAUAAGAGGCGGUUUAAUCGGAUGGAAUGGCAAUAAGCAAACGUCACGAAAUCCGAUCGCCGUUACGUGGAAUUAACUAGAGAGGGAAUGAUUUAGAUUAAAACAUAAUUUCAAGCGUCAAUGAUCAUUUGUUGGUUUUACGAACGCUUACUACAAGAACAACGUGAUACGUAUACCCUGGAUUACGAAGUGUCAAGGUAGAAUGACUGUAUCUGUUUUGUCACUUUGUCUUCACUCUUAACGGAGCAAAUACAAAGAUGGCAGAUGUACAGCACGAUAAACGUCAUUGAUAAGAUAAUAAACUUGAAGUACUAAGUAGAUACGUUAUCGAUAGCACUACGCUUGAAAGAUGAUGUCCUUUCCAAGGGUCGGCAAAGUUGACGGUAUCAUUAGUGUAUAUUUAAAAAAAAUAAUAAUAAUUGUAAAUACGACUAACAAAGAGUCAUGCACACAAAAUGGUAGUGCACCUAGUACACGUAUAGACAAUUAAAUAAUCAACAAAAGAAUCCUUUGCCCGACGCGUCUUAUACAAAUACAAAAACCACGUAGGGUACCUAUGUGAACGUAAUUCAAACAACGUUUGAAUAAAAUCAUCAUAGAUAUUACACCACUGUACAACCUUAAAAAAUGGCAUAAUCAAAUGAACCCAUGUCUUACAUAACCAUAGCAACCGUAUGAAAACUGUCAAACCUAUUGCGUCUCCUGUACUUAUAUGUCAUAGAUCCAAAAUUCAUUAAAAAUCAUGAGAAUCCCCGGACUAGGAUCCGCUUGGCGGUAAAAAGAAUGCACUAUUAAUAAAUAGUUCUUCCAAGCAUAUCAGGCAGUGUGCGCGAAGUGUCUGGUGAUAUAAUCUCUAUAUGUGUAUAUAAGUGCAUACAAGUGAAUACGUGACCCGAACAGAAGGAGGAAACGGUCCGACAUAAAGAGGGACUUAAAAAUAUUCAUAUGCACAAGAAAUAGACAUCGGAUUAGGUCGGGAAUGAAAGUUCGGUCCGAGGGGAAGGAACAAUAGAGAAAAUAAAGUAGGGGAUUCCCCGGCUGUAACGUUAGCUAGCUCCUCCGCGCAACUGUGACAAACUUCGACACUGACAUUGGGGUAGGUCGGUCGUCACCAUGGCAAACGUUCAGCUAUUAAAAAUACAGUCAACCAGAGGCGAACCCUGUGCGAAUUGGUCGGCAAAGGCGAAUUAACGGGCCAAGAAGCCGCGUGGUUUAACGUCAACGAGAAUCGAUCGAUGGACAAUGGCCGAUGCUUGAGAGGAACAUAAUGUAUUACAUAUGUGCAUAUAUAAAUACACAAACAUGUAUUACUCAUCCUGUGUAAAAGGAAACGGCCAUUUUCGACGUAACGCCGUUUAAUGCAAAAAUCGAAUAGAAACGAGAAAUAGCGGUUGUUGGAUUUUACAUCGGAUUGCAUUGAGCAAUAAUAUAUGUAUAGAUGUCAUUAAUGUUACGCAAUCUAACUAAAUGGAAAUGACUAUUAUGGACUAAAGCUUAUAAAUAAAUGUAUAACGUUGUUGUGCA
Molecule: long non-coding RNA, 2901 nt
Organism: Cephus cinctus (wheat stem sawfly)
Lineage: Eukaryota; Metazoa; Arthropoda; Insecta; Hymenoptera; Cephidae
Exons: 2
Source: RefSeq, a predicted model, not a curated record